RNAcentral lists this long non-coding RNA (220 nucleotides) under Panax ginseng (ginseng). Its description in RNAcentral is "long non-coding RNA (PGIN_LNC018012)". Lineage: Eukaryota; Viridiplantae; Streptophyta; Magnoliopsida; Apiales; Araliaceae. The record is from RNAcentral.
UUAAAAUGAUAAAAGGAUUAAGUUAAGGGUGAUAUUUAAAAAUUUUGCAAAGUAAGAAAGUCGAUAUAAAAUAUUCGUUGUGUCGGGGAAUAUUCGUUUGGUUGGGGAAUAUUCUUUUUGUCAGGGAAUAUCCGUACGACGACACCAUCAUUGGUGGACCCCACAACGGAAUAACUGUCGGAGUUAGAAAAUGACAGAAAUAUCUUUUAUAAAAAUAACG